AACACUUGUUUGGGAUGGGAUUUAAAGGAUCACCUUUCAGGAAGCUAAUUUUACUCUGAAUUUGGGUGUGGAUUCUUGUUGAAGUGUUGCUGACAAGAUUGUUGAUGUGUUUUAGGUUUUUGUUUUAAUGGUGAAUGGUUUACUCUUUCCUCACCCGUUUAAUACAUUAAUCUAUUGAUACGGCCGGAAGCAACAUUAAUGGUUGUUUUGGCUCUUAAUACGUAUGAUUUUCAGAUGGACUGGCAGUAAAUUCACAAGAUGUGAGCGUAUCUACUUGGACAGCAACGAAGCUGGAAGUCUCAAAUCAUGGAAGAGAGCAGCAAGGUUUGAGUUGCGUUAUUUUGAUGCCAGCAAUUCUCAAAUAGGAAUGUGUUUUGCAACAAUCAUUCAAAGUUCGCCACCUGCUUUGAAUGGGUAUGUUGCUUUUUCAGGUACCCGCUUUUUCAGUUUUCAUCUUUUUUCCAAAAUUCCAUUCCAUUUCUCAAAAUUCGAUCUGAUCGACUCGGAAUCCUUAAUGGCAGAGAGGGUGGUAGAUAUCGGGGUGGUGACUACUGAGUAGAGUAUGUUUUGGUUAAAUAAAUUGUUUUGCAUUUGGCUAGCUGUCAGAUCCAAGAUUCAAGGUUGUAUGUAUGCAUCUUGUCCAUGCAUAUAGACAAAUAUCUUCAAGGCGGGAUAACAUUGCCCCUUGUCUAGUUUUUGGUUAAAAUAGCAUGAGAUUUUUAACCGUUAUUUGUUUUAGUAAAAAUUUUAUGGUGAAUAGAUUAGAAGGUGUUAACCAUAAAAUCUAAAAUUUCUGUAAGCCGGAGUCUCCAAGUAUUACUUAAAUUUCUUGGUCCUCAAGUAUUUUUGAAUUUUAGUUUAUACUGAAGUUAUCAUAUGUUUAUAAUUUGUUCUUUGAAUAACCUGAUGAGUGUCCUCAAAAAAGACUUGGUGAUUUAGUUUCUUCUUCUUAUUUGUUCUCUUUUUCUUUAUACUUUUAGGCUAGUCAACAAGAAAGAUCAACUUGUGUGUCUUCUUUGAUGCUACUACUAGCAUGAGUAUUCAUUGCAGCCAAAAUUAUAAGGGUUGGAGCUACUGGGCAUCAUCAACAUUCAGCAAAAGUAAAUUUUGAGAGUGGGCUUCUUAUUUGUAUAUGAGCAGUCUUGUUUUUUGUUCUUAAUUAUCCAUUCACUUCCAUCA
This 1179-nucleotide long non-coding RNA is filed under the name Linum usitatissimum (flax). RNAcentral's name for it is "long non-coding RNA (LUSI_LNC007042)". The record is from RNAcentral. Lineage: Eukaryota; Viridiplantae; Streptophyta; Magnoliopsida; Malpighiales; Linaceae.